This 73-nucleotide transfer RNA is filed under the name Perca fluviatilis (European perch). It matches the Rfam family "tRNA". From Rfam's summary of the family: Transfer RNA (tRNA) molecules are approximately 80 nucleotides in length. The record is from Rfam by way of RNAcentral. Lineage: Eukaryota; Metazoa; Chordata; Actinopteri; Perciformes; Percidae.
GGCUUCAUAGCUCAGGGGUUAGAGCACUGCUCUUGUAAACCAGGGGUCGUGAGUUCAAUUCUCACUGGUUCCU